AGGCCUUCAAACACAUACGCUGCCGUGUUCUCCUCCCUUUUAUCAGUCUACCUUUGAAUUGAGGCAUGACUCAGUGCCAGACGUUGUUCCCUUGACUGGCCUUCUGCACAUGUAGCCAAGGUGGCUCACGACAUCCGCCCACCUCUUCCUCUGUGCAACAAACCUCUUUGUUUCCUUUCCGUUCUCCCAUCACUUCCUUCCCUGCAGACAGCGGUACUCAAGCGACCCAUGUGUUCGUUACUCUCCUCUACAGCUACCUUUCUUUAAUGGGACUUGAAAUGGAGCAAUACUUAAUGGGUUGUACUUGAAGAUUGCACUUUCAAUUAAAAAGCACACACAGGCAGAUAUUUUGCCUAUUAUCCCACUUCCUCUGGCUCUUGCUGACUGAAAAGCUCUCUUCCAUAAUUUUCAGGUCUCAGUAGGCCUCAGCUGAUACUCAGAGAUAUUUUUUGCAUCCACUUUGCUGCUUUCCCCUCUUCAUUAUUGGAUCUGUUUUUGUUUUGUUUGUUUUUUUAGUAGGCACUUUUGGGUGAUGGAAGGAAGCAUUGCAUGUUUUCCUUUUCAUUCGUUAUGCUUCCGUUCAUGUGUGCUUGAUUUGUAUGUCAGCACUGUGUUGCUUCUAAUGGUGGGCAUUCUCUUUAGGUCACUAAUUUGAGUGCUUCCUGCAGUGUUGCAGGAGUUUCUGCAGUUCCUCUGCUUCUUGCACCACUGGAAUAAUACUAUGUGUUUCUCUCAUUUGGCUCAAGUCUUCUUCAGCUGGCUUGUUAGAACUUGAAGGGGCCACUAGUAUGGAGCGAUGCCCAUUCUUAGUUGUGAGAGAUUAAUGGUGCGUAGCAAGGCAUUUUGAUAUACAUCACUGUCAUGAAACUGAGAGUCUAUUUUCUAUACGACAGCCAAGCUUUUCAACUUUUGUGCUACUUUUAAAGUGACAAAUGGCCAGCAAUAAAUGUCAAACUCUGAUCUUUCACUUUUUGCAUUGUUUGGAAUGUGAUCUUAUCUACAUGUAAGCACAGCCGUGUCAGUCUGAAAAGGCCGCUGCUAAAAUGUCAUCAUGAGAAACCCUAAAUCAGUCUCCCAGGUGGCUUAAUUUAGAGAUUGGUUAUAAUGACGUGUUCUAUCCCCUUCUGAACGCAGUGGUUGAUUUCAGCUGAGGUUUCGGAGAAGAUAGACAAUAAGGUCUUCCAGGUUGCAGCCAGGAGAUUCUAUCCAUACCUUUAUGCUAUUGCUCUUAUAUUUUUAUCACACCUUUCCUUCAGGGAGACCAUCCUAUCAUCAGAAAUGCCAGUUGAGGCCAACAGUGAUACCAAGAUACCCAGUGAAUGUGAUGGUUGAGAGGGGAGUCAAAACUAGGUCCUGCCAAACCAAAACUAGCACACCCUCCAUCAAAUCACCCUAGCUCUUAGGUUGGCUACUGAAGCAGAAGACAAGCUGCGUCUUCUGUUGCCCUUCCUUUCAUGCCUCCUCCAUGCUGCAUGACACACCUGAAGUUCUGCCCUCUACAAAAGGAAGCAAGGAAGGGAAGGCCCAAAAACAGGUACAGAAACUUUACUUAGGUGAGUAGGGGAUUACCCAGGGCCUAACCAAUGGAGGGAGCCACAUCAAUGUUGAUCAACAGUACCAGAUGUCAGUGUCUGAAAUUACUGGACCCAUUUCUUCACUUUCAAGACAGUAGCACUGAUCAGUGGAAGUGUUUCCCCAAGAGUGAUUUCAGUGCUUUGAGUCUGCUCCAUGCUCCAUUUCCUAGAUUGCUGAGAGGGCCUGCAUGCUUAAUCAACUGUUAUUGACUCACUAGCAGAAGAUACCCAGCUCAGGAAUUCUAAGUAACCAAAGCUUGCUGAGAUUUAUAAAUGGAUAAUGCCAUUUGCUUGUUUCCUUCCAAAUUGGUGCAGGCUCAGCCAUUCCAUGCAAAAUUUGGUUACUGUCUUGCUUCACAAGUCAUAGCUCCCCAAUUGCAGCCCAGUUGCAGCUGGUCGUAUGGUCUAGGGCUAGGCAGUGGCCAUGGCAACAGGGCAUUGGGAAGGCGGUGUGAGGAGGCCUGAUUCGCUCAUGUGGCAUGCCCCUUUGCAAGUGCCUUGCAAUUUUCACUUGCAAGAAUUUCUGCAAUCCUCAGGCCACCCAAGCAGUUUCCACUUCUAUUAUCUUAUUGGCAAAUGCUAGGGAAAGAUAAGUGGAUGGAAGAUCAAAUACACAGUUCAGACGCAACACAUUUCUCAGCUUGCAUCUCUGAGAGAGGCAGAAACUUAAUAAACACCAUUCAUCUCCCUGAUAUCUCAAGCUUUCGGUAAUGCACUGGGCACAUAAGAGACUGCCAUCCAUUCUCCUGCGGAAACUGCAAAAUCUCAUUUGAUGAUCAAAUUGACUAAUACAUUAUCCAUGUGUUAUCCUUAUAGGAUUUACUGCAUGGAUUGGGCAGAAUAAAAGUAUCUGUCCCCCCACCCCCCAGUAAAUAAAAAGCCUCAGAAUGCAGCAAAUUAUGUUACAUGCUUGGUUGGUAGAUAUGGGCAUCGUAGAGGCCUUUACUAUAUUCAAAAGCUGCAGUUUUGAUUUUCCUGUUGUGUCUGAUAUAAGCGUAAAAAAUCAUAUCAUUAAAACCAGCUCCGGUUCAUGCAAGCUACAAGUUCAGAUCUUGCUACCACUGCUCAGAUAUUGGUAUCAAAGUAAAAGAACAGAAGGAAGGGGAUGCCAACCAAGUUCAAAGAUCAGUAGAUUUCUCUCCUUUUUUUGCCAGAAACAUGGUCAUAAAAUCUCUAGUAAAGGUAAAGGGACCCCUGACCUUUGGGUCCAGUAGUGUCCGACUCUGGGGUUGCGGCGCUCAUCUCGCUUUAUUGGCUGAGGGAGCCGGCGUACAGCUUCUGGGUCAUGUGGCCAGCAUGACUAAGCCGCUUCUGGCAAACCAGAGCAGCACACGGAAACACCAUUUACCUUCCCGUCGGAGCGGUCCCUAUUUAUCUACUUGCACUUUUGACGUGCUUUGGAACUGCUAGGUUGGCAGGAGCAGGGACCAAGCAAUGGGAGCUUACCCCGUCACGGGGAUUCGAACCGCCGACCUUCUGAUCGGCAAGCCCUAGGCUCUGUGGUUUAACUCACAGUGCCACCCGUGUCCCGUCAUAAAAUCUCUACUCGGGUAUAAAAAACCAUCUGUAGCUCAGUGACAGAGCAUCUGCUUUGCCUGCCAAAGGUCCCAGGUUCAAUCUCCAACAUCUCCAGAUUCUACCUGAAGCUCCUUGGGAGUCACAGCUAGUCAAUGUAAAGAAUGGUCUGAUUCAGUAUGAGGCAACUGUUUAUGUUCCUAUGCUCCCAUGCAUAGUUUUAUUCUGCUGGUGUAUAUGGAUUGCAUUUUCAAGACAGCACAGAAGCAAGAAUGAAUGGUUCAAGGAAAGCAACAAUUAUUAUCUAGACACCCAAAGGUGAAGAACACUUAAUAUUUAGCAGGAGAUGCUGCUUUCUUACAAAAUGGAAUAGGAAUGAGGUGGAAACCCAAGCACACCUGUUCAAAUUGUUGUUAGCUUGAUCAUCAAACCAUACCAUAGUCAACUGGAUGCAGGCCCCCCUUCUUCUUCUUCUUCUUCUUCUUCUUCUUCUUCUUCUUGCAUCUCACAGCUCUAUGUGGGGUGCUACCCCACUCCCAACAGCCAAAGCUCAAAAAUAUUUCAACCUUGUGGAAAUGGAUGGAAAAGUAGUUAUUGGUGUACCCCAAGAAAGAUGGCAGAAUUCUGACAUGCAGCCCAUCUGUGUUUUUUAUUUUGCUGGAAGCCACCCAGAGUGGCUGGGGUAGCCCAGUCAGAUGGGUGGCAUAUAAAUAAAAACAUUCUUAUUCUCUAGUGCAGAGCUUUCCAAACUGUGUGUCAUGACAUAUUGGUGUGUUGGCUGCAACGUAUGGGUGUGUCACACAAACACUGGAAAGGGAUUUAGUUCCACCUCCAGUUUGCUAGUAAAACUGAAUUGCUGUGUUGCAAAAUGAUGCAUGUCUAAAAACUGUGUCACCAACAUGAAAAGUUUGGAAAGCUCUGCUCUAGUGUCAAAUGACACACCAACCUCCCCCCCCCCCGCCAGUGAAUGAUUGGCUAGACUCAUGAUUCCCAGGCAGGAAAUAAGACAUUGGUUAGGUGGCCCAGUGAGAUCUUUGGACCUGUGUUGGAACUGCCCCAAGGUGAUGUGGUUUUGGUUUUGUUUAGUCUUGGGGAGACAGGAAGGUAUAAGCUGGAGUACAACUUGCAUUUGUGCUCUUUGAGCAUUAAGUUGAACAUUCAAAGAGCUUUCUCAGGUCUGCCAACACUCUUUUUCAAAGAAACAAAAGCCCAUCAGGUGCAGUGAAGGUUCCUGUACCUUCAUUGGUGUAGAUGAGCACAUGUAACUUUUCUCCAAGGAUGAGAAAAGAUGCCAUUUGUCUUCUACAAAAUUACAAAAAGUUUCAGAAUGCAUUUUCUGUAGGCACUUGUUCACAAUAACAGUGAGAUGUCCAAUAAUAGAAUGAACAGGGUUCUUCUUCUUCCUCUGGGGAUACAUCAGGGGACAUGUGGAACAUUGGGUCAGAGAAUUAUUGGAUUAAUUCUCUUUUUUAAAGGCCAUUAAUUCCAUGAGAAGCUUCAACAGAAAAUAUGACUGCAUAAUGAGCAUUUAUGGGACCUGAAACCUAAGCAGAUGCUAAUUGGAAGAAAAAAGAUAGAUUGUAUUAGUAAGAACGAAGAUACAUUAGGGCAAAAGUGAAAUGACAAAGGACAAAAUGGGUAUUUUUUUUACGCCUCAUGCAUUUUUCAAAUCAUCAGUAAGUGACCUUACUGCAGGUUUCUGCUACAGACCUCCAAGUCUGACCAAAGACUUGUGUGAUGCCUUCCUAGAGCUGAUUACCAAACAUUUAAAAAGGAGAGAUAUUGUAGUCAUGGGAGACUUCAGUUUCUCUGAUAUCUGCUGCAACUGAAACUCUGCCAAGAAUGUAAGGUACAACAAAUUCUUCAAUAGCCUCAUUGACAGUUUCAUUUCCCAGAAGCUGGCAGAAGCAACAAGGGGAUAAUCUAUCUUGGACUUGGGCCUCACUAACAGGGGAGUACUGAUAAAUGAGGUGGAAGUACUGCAAAACUUUGAGGAUGUGAUCUUGUCCUCUUGGGUUUCGUGGUACAGAGGCAAGGGACACCUGAGUGCAGUCAGACAUGUACUUUGGACUUUAAAAAUGCUGAUGUCAAAAAGCUUAAGGAACUGCUGGGUGAGAUCCCAUGGUCAGAAAUAGUCAAAGAGGAGUUCAAGAUGAAUGAGAGUUUCCUAGAGCUGAAAUACUGCAGGCACAAAUGCAAACAAUUACAACGAGAAAGAAAAGUGGGAGGCAUCUAAAUAAACCACCGUGGUUUACAGAUGAGCUGAGAGCCAAGAAGGGC
RNAcentral lists this long non-coding RNA (5369 nucleotides) under Podarcis lilfordi (Lilford's wall lizard). Lineage: Eukaryota; Metazoa; Chordata; Lepidosauria; Squamata; Lacertidae. The record is from RNAcentral.